UACGUAGGGUGCAAGCGUUAAUCGGAAUUACUGGGCGUAAAGCGUGCGCAGGCGGCUUUGCAAGACAGAUGUGAAAACCACGGGCUUAACUCGUGGCCUGCAGUUGAGACUGUCUGGCUUGAGUGUGGGAGAGGAGAGUGGAAUUCCUGGUGUAGCGGUGAAAUGCGUAGAUAUCAGGAGGAACACCGGUGGCGAAGGCGGCUCUCUGGACCACAACUGACGCUGAGGCGCGAAAGCUAGGGGAGCAAACAGG
Molecule: ribosomal RNA, 253 nt
Filed under: uncultured prokaryote
Description: partial 16S ribosomal RNA
Rfam family: Bacterial small subunit ribosomal RNA
Source: RNAcentral